RNAcentral lists this ribosomal RNA (382 nucleotides) under uncultured eukaryote. Its description in RNAcentral is "partial 18S ribosomal RNA". It matches the Rfam family "Eukaryotic small subunit ribosomal RNA", at positions 592 to 976 of the family's 1831-position model. The record is from RNAcentral.
UGUAAGCGUAUACCAAAGUUGUUGCAGUUAAAACGCUCGUAGUCGGAAUUUGGCAGUUCCGGAUGUGUGCACGUCGUGUGCGCACUUCGCGGGGAUUGCUUUUGUGGUCUUGCGUAGGAUGAGGCUCUUUUAUUAGUGAACGUCCUCACGCAACCACUUUUUACUGUGAGAAAAUCAGAGUGCUCAAAGCAGGCAUUUGCCGUGAAUGUAUUAGCAUGGAAUAAUAGAAUAGGACUUGGUUCUAUUUUGUUGGUUUGUUGGGACUGAGUAAUGAUUAAGAGGGACAGUUGGGGGCAUUUGUAUUUCGGUGCUAGAGGUGAAAUUCUUAGAUUACCGAAAGACAAACUGCUGCGAAAGCGUCUGCCAAGGAUGUUUUCAUUGA